This 207-nucleotide ribosomal RNA is filed under the name uncultured bacterium. Its description in RNAcentral is "partial 16S ribosomal RNA". It matches the Rfam family "Bacterial small subunit ribosomal RNA", at positions 568 to 774 of the family's 1533-position model. The record is from RNAcentral.
CGUGUAGGCGGCCAACUAAGUCGGACGUGAAAUCCCUCGGCUUAACCGGGGAACUGCGUCCGAUACUGGAUGGCUCGAGUGUGGGAGAGGGAUGCGGAAUUCCAGGUGUAGCGGUGAAAUGCGUAGAUAUCUGGAGGAACACCGGUGGCGAAGGCGGCAUCCUGGACCACGACUGACGCUGAGGAGCGAAAGCCAGGGGAGCAAACG